This 1454-nucleotide ribosomal RNA is filed under the name Oplophorus spinosus. RNAcentral's name for it is "SSU rRNA". It matches the Rfam family "Eukaryotic small subunit ribosomal RNA", at positions 398 to 1804 of the family's 1831-position model. The record is from RNAcentral. Lineage: Eukaryota; Metazoa; Arthropoda; Malacostraca; Decapoda; Oplophoridae.
GAGAAACGGCUACCACAUCCAAGGAAGGCAGCAGGCAGCGCAAAUUACCCAAUCCCGGCCCAGGGAGGUAGUGACGAAAAAUAACAAUGCGGGACUCAUCCGAGUCUGCGUAAUUGGAAUGAGCACACUUUAAGUCCUUUAGCGACAACCGAUUGGAGGGCAAGUCUGGUGCCAGCAGCCGCGGUAAUUCCAGCUCCAAUAGCGUAUAUUAAAGUUGUUGCGGUUAAAAAGCUCGUAGUCCGAGUUCAGUUCCGGACUGGCCGGGGAGGUCGCCGCCCGGCGCUUCCCCGCCAGGCUCCGAACGCAGGCCUCCCUCACAAGGGGAGGCCGCAGCCGGUUUCGCCGGGGUCCCCUUCACCGGGUGUCCCGCGCGGCCGGCCCGUUCACCUUGAACAAAUGAGAGUGCUCAGAGCAGGCUACUCCAAGUAAAAGCCCGAAUGUUACCUGCAUGGAAUGAUGGAAGAUGAUCUCGGUUCCAUCCUGGUCUGGGAAUCCGAGAUAAUGAUAAACAGGGACUGUCGGGGGCAUCCGUACUACGACGCGAGAGGUGAAAUUCAGUGACCGUCGUAGGACGAACGACAGCGAAAGCAUUUGCCAAGAAUGUCUUCGUUGAUCAAGAACGAAAGUUAGAGGAUCGAAGGCGAUCAGAUACCGCCCUAGUUCUAACCCUAAACGAUGCUGACUAGCAAUCCGCCGUCGCUAUUCCCAUGGCGUGGCGGGCCGCCCCCGGGAAACCUCAAGUUUUUGAGUUCCGGGGGUAGUAUGGUUGCAAAACUGAAACUUAAAGGAAUUGACGGAAGGGCACCACCAGGAGUGGAGCCUGCGGCUUAAUUUGACUCAACACGGGAAACCUCACCAGGCCCGGACACCAGAAGGAUUGACAGAUUAAGAGCUCUUUCUCGAUUUGGUGGGUGGUGGUGCAUGGCCGUUCUUAGUUGGUGGAGUGAUUUGUCUGGUUAAUUCCGGUAACGAACGAGACUCUGGCCUGCUAACUAGUCGACGUGGGUCCGCUGUGCACGGGCCCCGUAUCGACCCUAUAUCUUCUUAGAGGGAUGAGCAGCGAGUCUAGCUGCAGGAGAUUGAGCAAUAACAGGUCUGUGAUGCCCUUAGAUGUCCUGGGCCGCACGCGCGCUACACUGGACGGGUCAGCGGGUUCGCCUUCUCCGAGAGGAGCGGGAAAUCGCUGCAAACCCGUCCGUGAUAGGGAUUGGGGCUUGCCAUUGUUUCCCAUGAACGAGGAAUUCCCAGUAAGCGCAAGUCAUCAGCUUGCGUUGAUUAAGUCCCUGCCCUUUGUACACACCGCCCGUCGCUACUACCGAUUGAAUGAUUUAGUGAGGCCUUCGGACUGGCGGUCCUGGACUGGGUUCCGCUCUCCGGCGGACCCGGCCACCACUCGCCGGAAAGAUGUCCAAACUUGAUCAUUUAGAGGAAGUAAAAGUCGUAACAAGGUUUCC